This 1108-nucleotide long non-coding RNA is filed under the name Junco hyemalis (dark-eyed junco). Its description in RNAcentral is "lncRNA (ENSJHYG00000007331.1)". Lineage: Eukaryota; Metazoa; Chordata; Aves; Passeriformes; Passerellidae. The record is from RNAcentral.
GGGAUAGAGUGGGAGGAAGGGGAGAUUUUAAAGUCCUGGUCAAGAUAAUGGGAGCAGUUUCCUUUACGGAUUAUGAAUUUGCUUUCAUAGCUUGGCUCUAGUUUGUUUGCAGGGAACAUGGUUUGGCUCCCACUGUCUUCAGCAAAGCUGGACUGAAGUGGCCUCAGUGCAAGACAGACUCAGAACUUGGCUUUGAAGGGGCCCAUUCUGUUGCUUGUUAGUGGGUCAAAUUUUGGAGCUCUGACUCAGGCUGAACUUUCAGUGGCUUUUGCACCUGGAGAUUUAAAUAUCUGUCUGCAGGGAAGGUGAGCACCAAACGGCAUCCCUAGCUGCAGCUCCUUAAGACGUUACCUCCCCCUUCAUCCCCUCCAGCUGUUUAUUAUUUCCCUUCUGCUGCUGCUUACCACCUCCACGGUGUGUCAGAAGAAUGGGACACGAAUGCUCCCACCUCAGCACAAAGUCUGGCAGCGGCUCCCUUCCAGCUGCUGGGGAAAGGGGUUUAGGCAGAGCUGCCAGCCUUUGCCCAGGAGCCUCGCAGGAGAGUGCGAGAGCUGUUCCAGCGGCGCUGCGCCGGCAGCGGGAGCCUCCGGCACAAGGGAGCAGAUGAACGAGCUGCCGGGGGUGGCAGCGGUGGUGAUAACAUCUGGACCCACCCGAGGAGAGCGCAUCUCCCGAUGCUGUAGGAGUCACAAUUCUGAUUCCCAUGUGGCUGAGGUAGCCAAUGCAGGGAUGAGCACUGGACAAGUGUCUAUAUUGUUGGGGAGAUGCAUCAGCUCCAGCUCUGCUGCCUUUUACUGGAAGCUCAUACAGGAAGCAAAAUGUUGCCCUCCGCUGUUUGCAGCGUUGCUGGAACAGAGAACUCGCUGCGUCCGAGCCAGUCCAGUGCUUUACUCCAGUGUCACAUCCCUGGCACUGGUCAGGGGAUUUGGAGAGAGACGACUCCCACCCAGCCCACAGAUGCUGCAAAGACCUGAAAAAGGUCCCAUCACCCUCCCUGAGCCACCAGGAGUGACAUCCUUCCACUCUUAGGGAGAACCUUUGGAACCACCCUCACCAGAGACCACAGUGGACAAAAUAAAACCUUUAAAGGCUCAAGGUAGUUAAUACA